GGUGGGGUUCCCGAGCGGCCAAAGGGAGCAGACUGUAAAUCUGCCGUCAUCGACUUCGAAGAUUCGAAUCCUUCCCCCACCACCA
This 85-nucleotide transfer RNA is filed under the name Escherichia coli. RNAcentral's name for it is "tRNA-Tyr". It matches the Rfam family "tRNA". From Rfam's summary of the family: Transfer RNA (tRNA) molecules are approximately 80 nucleotides in length. Their secondary structure includes four short double-helical elements and three loops (D, anti-codon, and T loops). The record is from RNAcentral. RNAcentral also lists the same sequence under 4 other names. Lineage: Bacteria; Pseudomonadati; Pseudomonadota; Gammaproteobacteria; Enterobacterales; Enterobacteriaceae.